AACGAACGUUGGCGGCGUGGAUUAGGCAUGCAAGUCGAACGAAUCCCGUGGGGGCAACCCUGCGGGGGAAGUGGCGAAAGGGGCAGUAAGGCGUGGGUAACCUGCCUCGGAGUCUGGGAUAGCCCUCCUAACGGAGGGGUAAAACCGGAUGCCGUGGCGAGGGGGCAUCCCCUUGCUACGAAAGGUUACGCUCCGAGAGGGGCCCACGUAGUAUUAGCUAGUUGGUGCGGUAACGGCGCACCAAGGCCAAGAUGCUUAGCAGGUGUGAGAGCACGACCUGCGCCACUGGCACUGGGACACUGGCCAGACUCCUACGGGAGGCUGCAGUCGAGGAUCUUCGGCAAUGGGCUAACGCCUGACCGAGCGACGCCGCGUGUGCGAUGAAGGCCUUCGGGUUGUAAAGCACUGUCGUGGGGGAGAAAAGGGGUAACACCCUUGAUCGACCCCAGGAGGAAGCACGGGCUAAGUUCGUGCCAGCAGCCGCGGUAACAC
This 492-nucleotide ribosomal RNA is filed under the name uncultured bacterium. RNAcentral's name for it is "bacterial SSU rRNA". It matches the Rfam family "Bacterial small subunit ribosomal RNA", at positions 28 to 526 of the family's 1533-position model. The record is from RNAcentral.